Molecule: ribosomal RNA, 1221 nt
Filed under: metagenome
Description: bacterial SSU rRNA
Rfam family: Bacterial small subunit ribosomal RNA
Source: RNAcentral
UGAGGUAACGGCCCACCAAGGCGACGAUCGGUAGCCGGACUGAGAGGUUGAACGGCCACAUUGGGACUGAGACACGGCCCAGACUCCUACGGGAGGCAGCAGUGGGGAAUAUUGCACAAUGGGGGAAACCCUGAUGCAGCGACGCCGCGUGGAGGAAGAAGGUCUUCGGAUUGUAAACUCCUGUUGUUGAGGAAGAUAAUGACGGUACUCAACAAGGAAGUGACGGCUAACUACGUGCCAGCAGCCGCGGUAAAACGUAGGUCACAAGCGUUGUCCGGAAUUACUGGGUGUAAAGGGAGCGCAGGCGGGCGAUCAAGUUGGAAGUGAAAUCCAUGGGCUCAACCCAUGAACUGCUUUCAAAACUGGUCGUCUUGAGUAGUGCAGAGGUAGGCGGAAUUCCCGGUGUAGCGGUGGAAUGCGUAGAUAUCGGGAGGAACACCAGUGGCGAAGGCGGCCUACUGGGCACCAACUGACGCUGAGGCUCGAAAGUGUGGGUAGCAAACAGGAUUAGAUACCCUGGUAGUCCACACCGUAAACGAUGAUUACCAGGUGUUGGGAGAUUGACCCUCACAGUGCCGCAGUUAACACAAUAAGUAAUCCACCUGGGGAGUACGACCGCAAGGUUGAAACUCAAAGGAAUUGACGGGGGCCCGCACAAGCAGUGGAGUAUGUGGUUUAAUUCGACGCAACGCGAAGAACCUUACCAAGUCUUGACAUCCCUUGACGAUGCUGGAAACAGUAUUUCUCUUCGGAGCAAGGAGACAGGUGGUGCAUGGUUGUCGUCAGCUCGUGUCGUGAGAUGUUGGGUUAAGUCCCGCAACGAGCGCAACCCUUAUGGUCAGUUACUACGCAAGAGGACUCUGGCCAGACUGCCGUUGACAAAACGGAGGAAGGUGGGGAUGACGUCAAAUCAUCAUGCCCUUUAUGACUUGGGCUACACACGUACUACAAUGGCGUUAAACAAAGAGAAGCAAGACCGCGAGGUGGAGCAAAACUCAGAAACAACGUCCCAGUUCGGACUGCAGGCUGCAACUCGCCUGCACGAAGUCGGAAUUGCUAGUAAUCGUGGAUCAGCAUGCCACGGUGAAUACGUUCCCGGGCCUUGUACACACCGCCCGUCACACCAUGAGAGCCGGGGGGACCCGAAGUCGGUAGUCUAACCGCAAGGAGGACGCCGCCGAAGGUAAAACUGGUGAUUGGGGUGAAGUCGUAACAAGGUAG